GCUGGGUGUGGUGAUGCUUGCCUGUAGUCUCAGUUACUCAGGAGGCUGAGGCAGAAGGAUGGCUUGAGCAUAGGAGUUCUGGGCUGUAGUGCCCUAUGAUGAUAGGGUAUCUGCACCAUCGAUAUGGUGACCCACUGAGAGCAAGGUACUACCAGGUUGUCCAAGGAGGGGUGAACCAGCCCAGAAAUGGAGCAAGUCAAAACUCUUGUGCUUAUCAGUAGUGGGAUGGUGUGUAUGUGAAUAGCCACUGCACUCCAGCCUGGGCAACAUAGUGAGACCCCGUCUCU
Aotus nancymaae (Ma's night monkey) is the source of this 287-nucleotide unclassified non-coding RNA. It matches the Rfam family "Metazoan signal recognition particle RNA". From Rfam's summary of the family: The signal recognition particle (SRP) is a universally conserved ribonucleoprotein. It is involved in the co-translational targeting of proteins to membranes. The eukaryotic SRP consists of a 300-nucleotide 7S RNA and six proteins: SRPs 72, 68, 54, 19, 14, and 9. Lineage: Eukaryota; Metazoa; Chordata; Mammalia; Primates; Aotidae. The record is from Ensembl.